Molecule: ribosomal RNA, 382 nt
Filed under: uncultured Reichenowia sp.
Lineage: Bacteria; Pseudomonadati; Pseudomonadota; Alphaproteobacteria; Hyphomicrobiales
Description: bacterial SSU rRNA
Rfam family: Bacterial small subunit ribosomal RNA
Source: RNAcentral
GCAGACGGGUGAGUAACGCGUGGGAAUGUACCCUUUUCUACGGAAUAACGCAUGGAAACGUGUGCUAAUACCGUAUACGCCCUAUGGGGGAAAGAUUUAUCGGAGAAGGAUCGGCCCGCGUUGGAUUAGCUAGUUGGUAGGGUAAAGGCCUACCAAGGCGACGAUCCAUAGCUGGUCUGAGAGGAUGACCAGCCACAUUGGGACUGAGACACGGCCCAAACUCCUACGGGAGGCAGCAGUGGGGAAUAUUGGACAAUGGGCGCAAGCCUGAUCCAGCCAUGCCGCGUGAGUGAUGAAGGCCUUAGGGUUGUAAAGCUCUUUCACCGGUGAAGAUAAUGACGGUAACCGGAGAAGAAGCCCCGGCUAACUUCGUGCCAGCAGC